Molecule: unclassified non-coding RNA, 285 nt
Filed under: plant metagenome
Description: partial contains small subunit ribosomal RNA, internal transcribed spacer 1, and 5.8S ribosomal RNA
Rfam family: Eukaryotic small subunit ribosomal RNA (bases 1-54)
Source: RNAcentral
GGAAGUAAAAGUCGUAACAGAGUUUCCGUAGGUGAACCUGCGGAAGGAUCAUUAUUGUAUAACCGAGGUGCGAGGGCUGUCGCUGACCCGAAAGGUCGUGCACGCCCGAGUGCCCUCACACACAUCCAUCUCACCUCUAUGUGCACCACCGCGUGGGUCCCCCUUUGGCUUGUUCGGAGGGGGGCUUACGUUUUCACACAAACUUUGUAUGCAGUGUAGAAUGUAUUUUUUGUUUUUGCGAUCACGCAAUCAAUACAACUUUCAACAACGGAUCUCUUGGCUCUC